Myotis daubentonii (Daubenton's bat) is the source of this 1845-nucleotide long non-coding RNA. RefSeq lists it as uncharacterized. The record is from RefSeq and is a predicted model, not a curated record. NCBI's taxonomy places the organism in Eukaryota, Metazoa, Chordata, Mammalia, Chiroptera, Vespertilionidae.
GUUGAGGGUGAUGCUCUGUAGGUGCGUUGAAUCCUAGUCUCUGCUCUGCCAUCGGGACCAUCGAGGCCGGGAGAUGGAGGGAAAGGCUGGAGUAUUUGCAGAAGAUUCUGCGAUUCCAGAUAAUAAAAGAUGUAUGUACCGGCUCCUGAAUAUAACAGGCAGCAUUGUCAGACCUGAGGCACACGGCUGCAGGGCUUUUUCUGAGAUCUGUAACCAGAAGGUGUUUGCAUGCCCAUGCCAAUGGUCUUUCUGAAGCCAUGGAGUGAAAAGAGAAUUUUCCCCAGAGGGCAGAAGAGUCUGUAUGUUGGAGCCAACCAGACGUUUCCCAGGCUCCGGUGUCGUCCUGUUCGCCAGCAAUGAGCAGAUGUUAGCUUCUUCUGAUGCACAAGGACGAAGGGUGCAAUGCUCUCACCAUCCUGAUGUCAUCUCCGAUGGUUAUUUUUGCUGUUCUUCUAAAUAAUAGGGUUUCUGGCAUGAAGACUUAUCUCAGGAUUCAGCCCAGCCGUGUUCUGAGAUCCCGGGCCCCGGCGCUGAUGGAUUGAUGCAGGUUGUGAUUCUCUGACUAAUUUGCUUUGAAUGAGGUGAACACUUGGGAAAACCAAAAUGUUAUUUCCAAGAUUUUACAUCCUAACGGGAAAUACAACAGGAAAUAGGGAGCAAAAAAAAAAAAUUAUUUUUCACUUCUGACUGUCAAAAUGGACUUUUUGUUUGUCGUUUAAAUUAAUUGGGGAAAAAAAGAUAACCCAGUUAUAUUUCUUCCUUCUUUACACAAAAAUUGCAAGACCUUGCAAUACUGUUUCUUCCCCUUUUGCUCACAUAAGUGAUUUUAAACAUUCUCCAUGUGGCUGGAAACGGAAUGAUUUCAUGGCUUCCCUAUUGUGCUCUGUGAACGUGUAGGUUAGCGCUGUUGCUCUGCACUUCUCUGCACACUUCUAUUAAGGAGCCCAGAACUGAACCUCUUUCAAAGGAGGUCACAACAGGGGAGGUCACCUGGAAACCCAGGACCAGAGGCAGAUGCCAUUCCUGACUGUCCCUCCUUUACUCCUGCGUGGCAAUGCCCGUCCCCCGAGGAGGCAGACGAGGAAACUUUGGUGGGGGUGGCUGGGUAACCUGUCUAAAGGAACAGAACCAGUAAGUGAGGAGCCCACGUCUGACCACUUGCUGGAAUCGUUCAUUGCUUCGAGUGCUUCAUUACAGCCCCGUGAGAGGUGGUGGGGGGAGUUCUGAGGACCAGCAGUUAGUGUUGGUCUGGACAUUUGGAUGAAAUGAGGUAAAACCUGUGGGAGGCUUUGGAUGAGUUUCUGCAAUAAAAUUACCUUUUUCUGAUUCUUCAGCCCAGAAAGUUCCUCAAAUAGACCCAACUCCAAGGGGCUUGCCCUCCCUCCCCUGGCUCUGUCAGGGAUGGCCCUCUGUAGGGUCUCAGUGGGGAGCAGCUCCCUGCGGCUCCCCGACCAGGGGAAGGAUGAGGGGAAGGACGAGGCUGCCCGGCUGCUGCUGACCGAGACCCAGCGGUCCAUAUAUUCCCCACCACCUGCCGGCUUCCCUUUCUUCACUUCAGCCAGUUUCCUUCUAACUCGGUGUGUUGGCGAAAAGGAAGAAGAAGACGUGAUUGAAAACUGGGUCACACGUCCCAUCAGCAUGCCCGAAGCACUCACAGGCACUCAGUAUGAUUUUUAAGAACUUCAGUAGAUCUGAACUUGGAAAUGACCCUUUAGUUAUUCUGUUCCCUUAAAAAAUAGGAUUGUUUGCAUGAGCAAGUCACACAAACUCUCCAGGCCUCACAGUCACCUAAACAUUGAAAUGGAGAGGGUGACUAACAUAAAUUUUUUAAAAUGAGGGUAUGCA